AUUGAACGCUGGCGGCAGGCCUAACACAUGCAAGUCGAGCGGAUGAACGGUGCUUGCUCCUGGUUUCAGCUGCCGACUGGCGUGUAAUUCCUAGGUAUCUCCCUUUCUUUUUUUUCUUACGUCCUGACACGGGCCCUCUUACCCUAUUCGCCCUUAUGUCGUACGUGGGGGAUCUUUGGAUCUUCCGCUAUUUUCUGAUCCUAGGUCGGGUUUGCUCGUUGGUGUGGUAAAGGCCUACCAAGGCGACGAUCCGUAACUGGUAUGAUAGGCUGAUCAGUCACACUGGAAGUGAGACACGGUCCAGACUACUACGGGAGGCAGCAGUGGGGAAUAUUGGACAAUGGGCGAAAGCCUGAUCCAGCCAUGCCGCGUGGGUGAAGAAGGUCUUCGGAUUGUAAAGCACUUUAAGUUGGGAAGAAAAGCAGUAAGUUAAUACCUUGCUGUUUUGACGGUACCAAAAGAAUAAGCACCGGCUAACUUCGUG
This 484-nucleotide ribosomal RNA is filed under the name uncultured bacterium. RNAcentral's name for it is "partial 16S ribosomal RNA". It matches the Rfam family "Bacterial small subunit ribosomal RNA", at positions 30 to 507 of the family's 1533-position model. The record is from RNAcentral.